UCCUCCACUACAUACUUCCGCCAUGAUGUUCUUAGGACCUGAGGAAUAGAGCUGUCCAUCUGUAUACUGAGACCUAUGCAACUGCUGGAAGCAUCUUGGACCUAUCUUUGUCCUCUGCCUCCACUGUCCCCUGCUCCACGCCCAGAGGAUUCAUGGCAGAUUUAAGGCCCCACUCAAAUUCCCCUCCUGCAUGUGGCCCUUCCAGACCACCUCUACUAGGAGUGACUUCUCUGCUUUAUCCUCCAUAAGCAUUUAUUUUUUUGCCACCACCCAAAAUAUUUCUGUCUGUUCAUUCCUUGUGUCCUUCAGGAUUUCAAAGAAUGUGUUGAAAACCACCAAUUCCCAUUGUCAAGUCAACAUGAGUUAGAGUGAAAUUAUA
Molecule: long non-coding RNA, 379 nt
Organism: Marmota flaviventris (yellow-bellied marmot)
Lineage: Eukaryota; Metazoa; Chordata; Mammalia; Rodentia; Sciuridae
Source: RefSeq, a predicted model, not a curated record